Molecule: long non-coding RNA, 345 nt
Filed under: Homo sapiens (human)
Lineage: Eukaryota; Metazoa; Chordata; Mammalia; Primates; Hominidae
Description: HSALNT0345840
Source: RNAcentral
UGUUGCCAUCUUGGGUCUCAUUCUUGCCUCCUUUCUUGUUCUCUUUGUUCUUCUGGGUUUAUACUUUUUAAAAAAUUCUUUCCUGUUCCUUUUUUUUUUUUUUUUCUUGAGAUGGAGUCUCGCUCUGUCACCCAGGCUGGAGUGCAGUGGCACGAUCUUGGCUCACUGCAACCUCCGCCUCCUGGGUUCAAGCAAUUCUCGUGCCUCAGCCUCCUCAAUAGCUGGGAUUACAGACGCGCACCACCACGUCCAGCUAAUUUUUGUAUUUUUAGUAGAGAUGGGGUUUCACCAUGUUAGCCAGGCUGGUCUUGAACUCCUGACCUCAGGUGAUCCACCUGCCUCGGC